GAAUUUUGGACAAUGGACGCAAGUCUGAUCCAGCCAUUCCGCGUGCAGGAUGAAGGCCCUCGGGUUGUAAACUGCUUUUGUACGGAACGAAAAGCGCCUAGUUAAUACCUGGGCGUCAUGACGGUACCGUAAGAAUAAGCACCGGCUAACUACGUGCCAGCAGCCGCGGUAAUACGUAGGGUGCAAGCGUUAAUCGGAAUUACUGGGCGUAAAGCGUGCGCAGGCGGUUAUGUAAGACAGGUGUGAAAUCCCCGGGCUUAACCUGGGAACUGCAUUUGUGACUGCAUAGCUAGAGUACGGUAGAGGGGGAUGGAAUUCCGCGUGUAGCAGUGAAAUGCGUAGAUAUGCGGAGGAACACCGAUGGCGAAGGCAAUCCCCUGGACCUGUACUGACGCUCAUGCACGAAAGCGUGGGGAGCAAACAG
This 424-nucleotide ribosomal RNA is filed under the name uncultured bacterium. RNAcentral describes it as "bacterial SSU rRNA". It matches the Rfam family "Bacterial small subunit ribosomal RNA", at positions 359 to 775 of the family's 1533-position model. The record is from RNAcentral.